Molecule: long non-coding RNA, 206 nt
Organism: Calypte anna (Anna's hummingbird)
Lineage: Eukaryota; Metazoa; Chordata; Aves; Apodiformes; Trochilidae
Exons: 3
Source: RefSeq, a predicted model, not a curated record
AAGAGGGCGUGGUCACGUGAGCGGAGGGCGGCGGACUCAACCACAAGCAGAAGGGAGGAGGGGGGGGAGCGAAGAAGCCCUUCUCCCUCGGGCUGUCCCCAGGAAUUUACCUCUUGAGGAGGAUCCAUCCUUUACCUGCCCUAAGAUGGCGGCCGCAAGGCGGGCGCUGAGGCUGCUGCCGCCUUUCACCACCUCCUCCGCCACAA